RNAcentral lists this ribosomal RNA (497 nucleotides) under uncultured bacterium. Its description in RNAcentral is "partial 16S ribosomal RNA". It matches the Rfam family "Bacterial small subunit ribosomal RNA", at positions 28 to 507 of the family's 1533-position model. The record is from RNAcentral.
GACGAACGCUGGCGGCGUGCCUAAUACAUGCAAGUAGAACGCUGAAGCGAGGAGCUUGCUCUUCUUGGAUGAGUUGCGAACGGGUGAGUAACGCGUAGGUAACCUGCCUUGUAGCGGGGGAUAACUAUUGGAAACGAUAGCUAAUACCGCAUAACAAUGGAUGACACAUGUCAUUUAUUUGAAAGGGGCAAUUGCUCCACUACAAGAUGGACCUGCGUUGUAUUAGCUAGUAGGUGAGGUAACGGCUCACCUAGGCGACGAUACAUAGCCGACCUGAGAGGGUGAUCGGCCACACUGGGACUGAGACACGGCCCAGACUCCUACGGGAGGCAGCAGUAGGGAAUCUUCGGCAAUGGGGGCAACCCUGACCGAGCAACGCCGCGUGAGUGAAGAAGGUUGUCGGAUCGUAAAGCUCGGUUGUAAGUCAAGAACGAGUGUGAGAGUGGAAAGUUCACACUGUGACGGUAGCUUACCAGAAAGGGACGGCUAACUACGUG